RNAcentral lists this ribosomal RNA (450 nucleotides) under uncultured bacterium. RNAcentral's name for it is "bacterial SSU rRNA". It matches the Rfam family "Bacterial small subunit ribosomal RNA", at positions 29 to 524 of the family's 1533-position model. The record is from RNAcentral.
AACGAACGCUGGCGGCAGGCCUAACACAUGCAAGUCGAACGCCGUAGCAAUACGGAGUGGCAGACGGGUGAGUAACACGUGGGAACGUACCCUUCGGUUCGGAAUAACUCAGGGAAACUUGAGCUAAUACCGGAUACGUCCGAGAGGAGAAAGAUUUAUCGCCGAGGGAUCGGCCCGCGUCUGAUUAGCUAGUUGGUGAGGUAACGGCUCACCAAGGCGACGAUCAGUAGCUGGUCNGAGAGGAUGAUCAGCCACAUUGGGACUGAGACACGGCCCAAACUCCUACGGGAGGCAGCAGUGGGGAAUAUUGGACAAUGGGCGAAAGCCUGAUCCAGCCAUGCCGCGUGAGUGAUGAAGGCCCUAGGGUUGUAAAGCUCUUUUGUGCGGGAAGAUAAUGACGGUACCGCAAGAAUAAGCCCCGGCUAACUUCGUGCCAGCCGCCGCGGUAAG